This 597-nucleotide ribosomal RNA is filed under the name uncultured Ascomycota. RNAcentral's name for it is "eukaryotic LSU rRNA". The stretch from base 231 to 384 matches the Rfam family "5.8S ribosomal RNA". The record is from RNAcentral. Lineage: Eukaryota; Fungi; Ascomycota.
CUUGGUCAUUUAGAGGAAGUAAAAGUCGUAACAAGGUUUCUGUAGGUGAACCUGCGGAAGGAUCAUUACAGAGUUCAUGCCCUCACGGGUAGAUCUCCCACCCUUGAAUAUUAUACCUUAGUUGCUUUGGCAGGCCGUGGAAACACCACGGGCCCCGGCUUGUGCGUGCCUGCCAGAGGAAACCUAAACUCUGUUUUUAGUGAUGUCUGAGUACUAUAUAUAAUAGUUAAAACUUUCAACAACGGAUCUCUUGGUUCUGGCAUCGAUGAAGAACGCAGCGAAAUGCGAUAAGUAAUGUGAAUUGCAGAAUUCAGUGAAUCAUCGAAUCUUUGAACGCACAUUGCGCCCCGUGGUAUUCCGCGGGGCAUGCCUGUUCGAGCGUCAUUUAGACCAAUCAAGCCUCGGCUUGGUAUUGGGCUUCGCCACUCACCUGGCGGGCCUUAAAAUCAGUGGCGGUGCCGUCGAGGCCCUGAGCGCAGUAAAUAUCCUCGCUAUAGGGACCCGGCGGUUGCUGGCCAUCAACCCCCAACUUUCUAAGUUUGACCUCGGAUCAGGUAGGGAUACCCGCUGAACUUAAGCAUAUCAAUAAGCGGAGGA